CUCGUGUCGUGAGGAUCGUUGGGGUUAAGUCCCGUAACGAGCGCAACCCUUGCCUUAGUUACCAGCACGUUAUGGUGGGCACUCUAAGGAGACUGCCGGUGGACAAACCGGAGGAAGGUGGGGAUGACGUCAAGUCAUCAUGGCCCUUACGGCCUGGGCUACACACGUGCUACAAUGGUCGGUACAAAGGGUUGCCAAGCCGCGAGGUGGCGCUAAUCCCAUAAAACCGAUCGUAGUCCGGAUCGCAGUCUGCAACUCGACUGCGUGAAGUCGGAAUCGCUAGUAAUCGUGAAUCAGAAUGUCACGGUGAAUACGUUCCCGGGCCUU
This 327-nucleotide ribosomal RNA is filed under the name uncultured Pseudomonas sp. Its description in RNAcentral is "bacterial SSU rRNA". It matches the Rfam family "Bacterial small subunit ribosomal RNA", at positions 1059 to 1382 of the family's 1533-position model. The record is from RNAcentral. Lineage: Bacteria; Pseudomonadati; Pseudomonadota; Gammaproteobacteria; Pseudomonadales; Pseudomonadaceae.